GAGAGCCUUUACUGCUCCUGCUGCUCCUGCCUGGCCUUCCCUCUAGUUCUUGGUUCAGCUGAUGGUGUUCCUGAUCAGCUUCAUAAGCUCCGUGUUCUGUGGCCACCUGGGCAAGCUGGAGCUGGACGCAGUCACGCUGGCGAUCGCGGUUAUCAAUGUCACUGGUGUCUCAGUGGGAUUCGGCUUAUCUUCUGCUUGUGACACCCUCAUCUCCCAGACGUACGGGAGCCAGAACCUGAAGCACGUGGGUGUGAUCCUGCAGCGGAGUGCGCUCAUCCUGCUCCUCUGCUGCUUCCCCUGCUGGGCGCUGUUUCUCAACACCCAGCAUAUCCUGCUGCUCUUCAGGCAGGACCCAGAUGUGUCCAGGCUCACCCAGACCUACGUCACGAUCUUCAUUCCAGCUCUUCCUGCAACCUUUCUUUAUAUGUUACAAGUUAAAUAUUUGCUCAACCAGGGAAUUGUACUGCCCCAGAUCGUAACUGGAGUUGCAGCCAACCUUGUCAAUGCCCUCGCCAACUAUCUGUUUCUCCAUCAACUGCAUCUUGGGGUGAU
This 552-nucleotide small RNA is filed under the name Pongo abelii (Sumatran orangutan). RNAcentral's name for it is "processed transcript". The record is from RNAcentral. Lineage: Eukaryota; Metazoa; Chordata; Mammalia; Primates; Hominidae.